AAGAAUGAAAACAUAACGUUAAAAGUUACGACCGAAGCGCUUUUCUGGAUCGACCUUCUUAGGGAACGCUCAAAGCUGAAUAUUAAGGGCCAACAACUUACAAAGAACAGAUUAAAUGAUAUAUUCUUUAGCCAACAUGAUGGCAGAAAGUAAGAAGUCGUAGAGCAAAACAGAAAAAAUUGAAAUCAAAAGAGAUAAUACACCGUGUAUUGAGCCUUUCUAUUGCUUAGAGUUCAGUAGAAAAUAUAUAUAUACAUGCUCAACCUAAACAUACUAUUUGACCUACUGCGAGUUGUUCAGUUUUUACUGUUACUCCUGUUUCUCUUAA
RNAcentral lists this long non-coding RNA (328 nucleotides) under Mytilus galloprovincialis (Mediterranean mussel). The record is from RNAcentral. Lineage: Eukaryota; Metazoa; Mollusca; Bivalvia; Mytilida; Mytilidae.